ACUUUGCUUUUUAUUUUAUUUUUUAUUUUCAGUGAUUAAGUUAUUAAACUUAAUUGACUUAAGAAUACCUGGAAAAUCUAGGUUGUUAGAUCUUGUUGAUUGCAUAUAACACUGAUAAAUAACAUAGAAGCUCAAAACUUGCAUAGAUCUGAAAUUGAAAUUCAAUAAUAAUCAAAACUCUGAUUCUAAAGUGACAAAAGACAUAUAUUUAUAAUAACCUAUAAUAACCUAAACCUAAGACUCUUGCCUAAAAUAAAAUUACAAGUCAAAUAAUAAAUAACUAAAAAAUAAAACUCUAAAUAGGCAACUAGAAUUCAUAUUAACUAAAAUAUUCCUAAACUCUAUUAAUUUUGAAUCAAAUUAGGAUUUCCUCAAUUUCUUACUCUACAUUAUACCUACUAGGGUGAAAAUAAUUUAUCCUUAAAUUUUGCUUGUUGUAAUCUCUAAUAACAUCUUUAUGUGCAAAAGUAUUGAUAUUCAAAAUAGAGCUUCGAUGUAGAUAGCAAAUUUUGAUUUUUUCAACUUUUGUAACAAUGCCUUUCCAAUCACCCCAAUAGUGUAAAAUAAAUUCUUUAAUUAAUACUUUCUCUAACAUUACCUUGUCGUAUUCUUUGUACUAAAAUAUCAAUGCAUCUAAAGAAAUACCACUAAUUGUUGAAAAUGAUCUUCUUUGCUUUCUUCAACCCAUUAAAAGAGAAUAGUAUGAAAUUGUAUCAAUAAUUAUCUCUCUUUGCUCCACGAGAUCAAAAUAUGCAUCAAAAUUUCCUUUCUCCAUUUUGUCACGUCAAUUUAUUCAUCAAUUCUUUCAGAGAUUGUGUGAAAUCAUUUAUUAGAAUUUGAGAAAUUGACGAAGAUGUGAAUGCAAAAUAAAAUUUUGAUCUAACUCAUUAAUUUCGGCCUCACCAAUCAUAUAUAUCUUCUCCGUUGAAAUUAUCAACAAUGGCUUCAUAAUUAACUUUCUUUUCCAAAAACUUCUAGAAUAUCUCCAAAAACUUCCCGCAAACUCGUAAGAAUAAACAUACAUAUUGUUUAAAGAUGAAAAGUUCACGGCGACCUUGUUGCUUUACGACACUUCAUUUUUUUUUCCCCUUUUUUAUGGUCAUUUCUUUUAGUUUUCCCUUGGUGAUGGCGGUGAGACCUAACUUGUGAUGGAGGCGACGAAUCGAAUGGAGGCAGUAGCCUGCAGGUUUUUGGCUUGUCAUUGCUGCCACAAACAAUAUGAUACCAAACUAAUUGAAAAAUUGAAAAGAUAGAUGGUUGAAUUUGUGGCAACUACAAACAAUAUGAUCUAGACUUUUAACUAUGAUACCAAACUAAUACAACAGCAGGUACAACUAAAGUCGGAGAUGGAUUGCUGGAAAAAAGUAGGAUAUUUUCAAUACUUUGUUUUAUCUAAGAAUUUUUUAAUUAAUGAAAUAAAUUAUAAUUCACGUUGAUUCUAAAAAUACUCGUAAAUCUAAGUUGUUAGAUCUCGUUUAUUCUAUAGAAUACUCAGAAAUAAAACAGAAGCACAAAACUCACACAUAGCUUAAAACUGAAAUUUAAUAAUAAUCGCUACUCAAAUUCUCAAGUUACAAAAGAGUUACAUUUUUAAUAACCUAAACCUAACUUGAGAUUCUUGUCUAACAUAAAAUUAUAGUUUAAAAAAGAAAUACAUAAACAACAAAAUUCUAAAAUAGGUAAUUAGAAUACACAUAAUCAAAAUAUUCUUAAACUCUAUAAAUUUGAAUCUAAUUAGAAUUCCUUCAUUUUCUUAUUCUCUCAUCAACAAGUCUCUUGGUCUCAGCUAAUUUUAGUCCCUCUAAAGAAUAUAGAGAUGCUUUGAAUAUUUGCAGUGUUUGUAAACCAGAUAUUUAUUAAAAAUUAAAAAUUAAAAGUUGAUAAGAUCCUAAAGUGAUUUAACUUUAUUUAACUUUUUUCUCGAAGGUCAAUAAUCCAGCUUAGUGGUAAUAGCAACGUUUAACUAAGCCUUAAGCAAGAUGCAUUUAUAAUUGAUCUAACGGUUUGUCAAUGGCUUGUGCAUGGCCUUAUACUAGUACAUGAUUUGAUUGCAUAAGGUCUAAUUAUAUUCAUAUAUUAGUUACCAUUUUGAUGCCGAUGUCAUUUUAAAGGAUCUCCAACUUUAUGCCAAUGUCAUAACGGCUAAGUUGUUGGAUAACUAAAGAUGUGUUUAAUUGAUUAUUAACACUAUAGUCUCUAUCCUUUAUUAUAAAAUUAUAAAAGUCAAAGGUUUGAAAAGUAUUACACAUAUAAAUUCAUUUUUUUAAUUUUAAAAAUUAUGAUCCAUUGAUCUAGUUUGACGAUGAAAAUGAAUCAUAGUGUAUGGAUAACAAGGCAAUCCCAUAUAAAAUUUUCUAAGUACAUGAAAAAUUAGCAAUAAUAUAAACAAUUUUUUUGUUUUAUAAUAUACUCAUUUAAUAUUGUACAAGCAAAUUGAACAUGUAUUAAAAAUAUGGAUUAUUAACUUUUCAAUUCUUAGAAAAUUAUAAAAUAAGAAAAGGUGAAAUUAGAAAAUAAAAGUCAUGUAAAUAAUGUUACAAAACUUUAUUAGUUUAUGCUAUAUUUUCAUUUAUAUGAUUAUUUGACAUGUUAAUUUAUCUGUAUACACAAUAUGUUAGUUUACCUAAAAAAUACCAACAUUGUCCUCCAAAUUUAAGGAAGCCAUUCUAAUUUUUAUAUUUCAAAGUGUAGCACAACAU
This 2699-nucleotide long non-coding RNA is filed under the name Citrus x clementina. RNAcentral describes it as "Citrus clementina (C. clementina) long non-coding RNA (CCLE_LNC002680)". The record is from RNAcentral. Lineage: Eukaryota; Viridiplantae; Streptophyta; Magnoliopsida; Sapindales; Rutaceae.